This is an unclassified non-coding RNA of Cricetulus griseus (Chinese hamster), 107 nucleotides long. Its record names the gene 7SK. It matches the Rfam family "7SK RNA". Rfam says of the family: 7SK was discovered as an abundant small nuclear RNA in the mid-70s but a possible function has only recently been suggested. Two independent studies have found that 7SK RNA binds the CDK9/cyclin T complex (known as elongation factor P-TEFb). NCBI's taxonomy places the organism in Eukaryota, Metazoa, Chordata, Mammalia, Rodentia, Cricetidae. The record is from Ensembl.
ACCAGUCUUCCAUCAAUAGUAUAUGAGUAGCUGCACUCCCCUUCUAUAACCUCCAAACAAACUCUCAAGGCUUCACCUUUUCUAUGGAGAAGAAGAGGGAUGGGAUU